Molecule: transfer RNA, 74 nt
Filed under: Actinomycetota bacterium
Lineage: Bacteria; Bacillati; Actinomycetota
Description: tRNA-Ile
Rfam family: tRNA
About the family: Transfer RNA (tRNA) molecules are approximately 80 nucleotides in length. Their secondary structure includes four short double-helical elements and three loops (D, anti-codon, and T loops). Further hydrogen bonds mediate the characteristic L-shaped molecular structure. tRNAs have two regions of fundamental functional importance: the anti-codon, which is responsible for specific mRNA codon recognition, and the 3' end, to which the tRNAs corresponding amino acid is attached (by aminoacyl-tRNA synthetases). tRNAs cope with the degeneracy of the genetic code in two manners: having more than one tRNA (with a specific anti-codon) for a particular amino acid; and 'wobble' base-pairing, i.e. permitting non-standard base-pairing at the 3rd anti-codon position.
Source: RNAcentral
GGCCGGUAGCCAAGCCGGUGCAGGCGCCUGCCUUAUAAGCAGGAGAUGCGCGGGUUCAAGUCCCGCUCGGCCUG